RNAcentral lists this ribosomal RNA (138 nucleotides) under Medicago truncatula (barrel medic). RNAcentral describes it as "5.8S ribosomal RNA". It matches the Rfam family "5.8S ribosomal RNA". Rfam says of the family: 5.8S ribosomal RNA (5.8S rRNA) is a component of the large subunit of the eukaryotic ribosome. The record is from Rfam by way of RNAcentral. Lineage: Eukaryota; Viridiplantae; Streptophyta; Magnoliopsida; Fabales; Fabaceae.
GACACUCAACAACGGAUAUCUAGGCUAUUGCAUCGAAGACAAACGUAGUGAAAUGCGAUAUGAAUUGUAGAAUCUUGUAAACCAUCAAGUCUUUGAAAGUAAGUUGCGCGCACACAUAUGCUGCCACAUUCAGCCCUG